GGCGUGUUCGUCUAGCGGCCCAGGACGCCGCCCUCUCAAGGCGGAGAUCACGGGUUCGAAUCCCGUACACGCUA
This 74-nucleotide transfer RNA is filed under the name Chlorobiota bacterium. Its description in RNAcentral is "tRNA-Glu". It matches the Rfam family "tRNA". Rfam says of the family: Transfer RNA (tRNA) molecules are approximately 80 nucleotides in length. Lineage: Bacteria; Pseudomonadati; Chlorobiota. The record is from RNAcentral.